UACGAAGGGGGCUAGCGUUGCUCGGAAUCACUGGGCGUAAAGGGCGCGUAGGCGGCCUUGUAAGUUGGGGGUGAAAGCCCGUGGCUCAACCACGGAAUUGCCUUCGAUACUGCUUGGCUUGAGUGUGGUAGAGGUUGGUGGAACUGCGAGUGUAGAGGUGAAACUCGUAGAUAUUCGCAAGAACACCGGUGGCGAAGGCGGCCGACUGGACCAUCACUGACGCUGAGGCGCGAAAGCGUGGGGAGCAAACAGGGAUUAGAUACCCUGGUAGUCCACGCCGUAAACGAUGAAUGCCAGCUGUUGGGAUGCUUGCAUCUCAGUAGCGCAGCUAACGCUUUGAGCAUUCCGCCUGGGGGAUACGGUCGCAAGAUUAAAACUCAA
This 381-nucleotide ribosomal RNA is filed under the name uncultured bacterium. RNAcentral describes it as "bacterial SSU rRNA". It matches the Rfam family "Bacterial small subunit ribosomal RNA", at positions 524 to 904 of the family's 1533-position model. The record is from RNAcentral.